UACGUAGGGGGCGAGCGUUGUCCGGAUUUAUUGGGCGUAAAGAGCUCGUAGGCGGCUUAGCAAGUCGGGUGUGAAAACUCCAGGCUCAACCUGGAGACGCCACUCGAGACUGCUAUGGCUAGAGUCCGGUAGGGGACCACGGAAUUCCUGGUGUAGCGGUGAAAUGCGCAGAUAUCAGGAGGAACACCGGUGGCGAAGGCGGUGGUCUGGGCCGGCACUGACGCUGAGGAGCGAAAGCGUGGGGAGCAAACGGG
RNAcentral lists this ribosomal RNA (254 nucleotides) under uncultured bacterium. Its description in RNAcentral is "partial 16S ribosomal RNA". It matches the Rfam family "Bacterial small subunit ribosomal RNA", at positions 524 to 776 of the family's 1533-position model. The record is from RNAcentral.